Molecule: unclassified non-coding RNA, 391 nt
Filed under: soil metagenome
Description: partial contains 5.8S ribosomal RNA, internal transcribed spacer 2, and large subunit ribosomal RNA
Rfam family: 5.8S ribosomal RNA (bases 1-122)
Source: RNAcentral
GAUGAAGAACGUAGCAAAAUGCGAUACUUGGUGUGAAUUGCAGAAUCCCGUGAACCAUCGAGUCUUUGAACGCAAGUUGCGCCCGAAGCCACUAGGCCGAGGGCACGCCUGCCUGGGCGUCACACGCCGUUGCCCCCCCAUCUACUCCUUCGGGAUUGCGGGGGGGCGGAUGAUUGCCUCCCGUGCGCCUAGCCGCGCGGUUGGCAUAAAUACCAAGUCCUCGGCGACGCACGCCACGACAAUCGGUGGUUGCGAAACCUCGGUUGCCCGUCGUGUGCGUUCGUCGCGCAUCGAGGGCUCGAAAAAAUGCUCGGCUCCGGCUGGGCUUUCAACGCGACCCCAGGUCAGGCGGGGUUACCCGCUGAAUUUAAGCAUAUCAAUAAGCGGAGGA